Sarcophilus harrisii (Tasmanian devil) is the source of this 1630-nucleotide long non-coding RNA. The record is from Ensembl. Lineage: Eukaryota; Metazoa; Chordata; Mammalia; Dasyuromorphia; Dasyuridae.
GAUUUGAUCAAUCAUACUUUUUGGCAAAACGAAGCCAGGUCAAGUCAGAACUCCAAGCCCUAGGAGCCUUCCAGAAAAAAACUCUCUUGAGUACAGUGGAUUUUUCUUCAUGGGACUUCUUCAUGGAAGACUAUACACAGAGACUGAACUUUUAUUUCAAUUUCAAAUUCUUCUGAGCUAAGAUAUGGCAGGUCCUUGCUGAUAGGCUGCCUAAUUGACUUUGACUAGGAAUGCCAAAAUUCCUUAACCCUGGUGCUCCCUUCCCCCGGUCCUCUCCAGUGGAAGGCUGUCCUGGGUCUCAUCCAGGUUUAAUGUCAUCUGUGCCCAUGAAAAGCCCCUGAUUAAGCCAUCUUCAUUAUCGGCGCUGGAUGCAUUUGGAAAUCCUUCCUGCUUGUAAUUUGGACAAAUGGCUCAGUAGCCUUUCUCCACGCCUGCUUUGCGGACAGUGCACCUGAGGGGAGUAUUGAUUUAUUUUCUUCUGUAAAUGAGAAUGAUACCGGCACUUGUUCCUAUAGAUCAGAGGAUGUGGCUUCUUUACCACGGCAGCAGAAACAUCAGGAGCUCAGUAAGUGAAUCCAGUAACUCCAUUACUGGCCAGUAAUUAAAUACCCUACAAAAUGUUUCCUCUUCCUCAAUUUUUUACACCUUCAUGGAGGAUACAAUGGCAGUGAUCACAUGCCAGAGUCUUCAACUGCCUUUUUGCUGCCAUUCCCCUAGGAAUAUUAUUCUCUUGGUGAUGACAGCAGGAGACAUGCAGUCUGAAAUAGCCCAUAAUUGUAAAUUAACUCUCAAGAGUUGGACAAGAAGUGCAGAUUUUUCUUAUCGGGUUCCUGUGUUCCAGGAAACCUUAGACUCUGAGGCUGAUACCUGGCCCUAGCAUCUGUCCAGGUGGCAUGCUGAAGGAAUCACAGACUUUGGGGGCUGAAAAAGACCUCAGUGAUCAUCAUCCCAUUCAUGAAUAGAACCCUACAGACAAUAUUUGACAAGAAGCUGGGGUGCCUCUGUUCAGAGACCUUCAAAGAACCAAAAUACCUACAAGCUCAUGCCCAUGAGAGAAGGGACCGUCUUCUCUAAAGAAUAUGUGUUGGUCUUUGCUGAAAUCUAGAAUAACAUUAUGUAAGAUGAAUGUUUGAUGAAGGAGGAGGAAAACCCAAGAGGGACAGUUGAGCAACAAAGGCUGUCACAGUGCUCUCGUUUCUGCUGGAGAUCUGCUUGUACAACCUUACUUACCUAUAAGCCUGGCUCAUAGCAUAAUCCCUUACCUCUUCCAGCCUUGACUUUGGCUUGACAACUUGACUCAUUCUGUAUCCUGAAUUGCAUUCCCAUUUAUUAUGUCUGAUGCCUGUAUUUCUGAUAUUGCCCUGGACUGUUCCUUUGGUUUGAUCAUCUGAUUUGGGUUUCUUGACCUUAGCCUGUACCCGGAGAAGGCUCAAUAUCAAAUCUUGAUGGGAAGGAAUAAAACAAGAAAAUUCAUCAUUCUGUUCAUCACUUUCCAAGAUUUUGGACCUUGAUGUGAUAUGAAUCUAGAGGCCAUUGAGUCCAAUUCUCCCAUUUUACAGAUGAGGAUAUUGAAGUGAAAUGAUUAAGUGACUUUCCCAUGGUUAUGCAGUCAAUAAAUAUCUAUGGUGAG